UACAUGGGGUGCAAACGUUGCUCGGAAUUAUUGGGCGUAAAGCGCGCGUAGGCGGUUACUCAAGUCGGAUGUGAAAGCCCUCGGCUUAACUGAGGAAGUGCACCCGAAACUGAGUAGCUAGAGUACUAAAGAGGGUCGCGGAAUUCCCGGUGUAGAGGUGAAAUUCGUAGAUAUCGGGAGGAACACCAGUGGCGAAGGCGGCGACCUGGGCCAAUAUUGACGCUGAGGUGCGAAAGCGUGGGGAGCAAACAGG
This 253-nucleotide ribosomal RNA is filed under the name uncultured bacterium. Its description in RNAcentral is "partial 16S ribosomal RNA". It matches the Rfam family "Bacterial small subunit ribosomal RNA", at positions 524 to 776 of the family's 1533-position model. The record is from RNAcentral.